This 77-nucleotide transfer RNA is filed under the name Mycoplana azooxidifex. RNAcentral describes it as "Rhizobium azooxidifex tRNA-Arg". It matches the Rfam family "tRNA". From Rfam's summary of the family: Transfer RNA (tRNA) molecules are approximately 80 nucleotides in length. Lineage: Bacteria; Pseudomonadati; Pseudomonadota; Alphaproteobacteria; Hyphomicrobiales; Rhizobiaceae. The record is from RNAcentral.
GGCCCCUUAGCUCAGCUGGAUAGAGCAACUGCCUUCUAAGCAGUAGGUCGCAGGUUCGAGUCCUGCAGGGGUCGCCA